RNAcentral lists this ribosomal RNA (429 nucleotides) under Gemmatimonadota bacterium. RNAcentral's name for it is "Gemmatimonadetes bacterium partial 16S ribosomal RNA". It matches the Rfam family "Bacterial small subunit ribosomal RNA", at positions 355 to 776 of the family's 1533-position model. The record is from RNAcentral. Lineage: Bacteria; Pseudomonadati; Gemmatimonadota.
UAGGGAAUCUUCGGCAAUGGACGAAAGCCUGACCGAGCAACGCCGCGUGAGUGAAGAAGGUUUUCGGAUCGUAAAACUCUGUUGUUAGAGAAGAACAAGGACGUUAGUAACUGAACGUCCCCUGACGGUAUCUAACCAGAAAGCCACGGCUAACUACGUGCCAGCAGCCGCGGUAAUACGUAGGUGGCAAGCGUUGUCCGGAUUUAUUGGUCGUAAAGCGAGCGCAGGCGGUUGCUUAAGUCUGAUGUGAAAGCCCCCGGCUCAACCGGGGAGUGUCAUUGGAAACUGGGAGACUGGAGUGCAGAAGAGGAGAGUGGAAUUCCAUGUGUAGAGGUGAAAUGCGUAGAUAUAUGGAGGAACACCAGUGGCGAAGGCGGCUCUCUGGUCUGUAACUGACGCUGAGGCUCGAAAGCGUGGGGAGCAAACAGG